UAUGGGUGUUGCAAACUC
This 18-nucleotide small nuclear RNA is filed under the name Arabidopsis thaliana (thale cress). RNAcentral describes it as "snRNA_18811". Lineage: Eukaryota; Viridiplantae; Streptophyta; Magnoliopsida; Brassicales; Brassicaceae. The record is from RNAcentral.